ACCUUGGCAGCUCAGUUGGCAGAGCAUGACACUCUUCAUCUCAGAGUUAUGGGUUCAAGCCUCAUGUUGGGCA
Non-coding RNA from Podarcis lilfordi (Lilford's wall lizard), 73 nucleotides. NCBI's taxonomy places the organism in Eukaryota, Metazoa, Chordata, Lepidosauria, Squamata, Lacertidae. The record is from the annotation of a GenBank genome assembly.